Molecule: long non-coding RNA, 238 nt
Organism: Xenia sp. Carnegie-2017
Lineage: Eukaryota; Metazoa; Cnidaria; Anthozoa; Malacalcyonacea; Xeniidae
Exons: 4
Source: RefSeq, a predicted model, not a curated record
AAACAGUGGGGAAAACGAUAACAUUGGACGAAGAAAUGCUCCAAAGAUUUCGCUUGUUUGAAGAAUAUUUGCGGAAAAAUGGUGAGGUUCCACCCAGCGAACAACAAGCUCCACGUACCCAAGCUCCAUCUAUUGAGCAUCAGGAGAAAACGGAUCGACCCAUGCACCAGGCGUCGACUCAGCCUCCAUUUUUAAAAGAUGUGAGAUGCUUUAUUUGUGGGCAGCUUGGCCACAAAAA